AAGAAUAAGCACCGGCUAACUUCGUGCCAGCAGCCGCGGUAAUACGAAGGGUGCAAGCGUUACUCGGAAUUACUGGGCGUAAAGCGUGCGUAGGUGGUGNUUUAAGNCUGAUGUGAAAGCCCUGGGCUCAACCUGGGAAUUGCAGUGGANACUGGNUCACUAGAGUGUGGUAGAGGGAUGUGGAAUUUCCGGUGUAGCAGUGAAAUGCGUAGAGAUNGGAAGGAACAUCGGUGGCGAAGGCGAUAUCCUGGGCCNGCACUGACACUGANGCACGAAAGCGUGGGGAGCAAACAGGAUUAGAUACCCUGGUAGUCCACGCCCUAAACGAUGCGAACUGGAUGUUGGGUGCAACUUG
Molecule: ribosomal RNA, 355 nt
Filed under: uncultured Pseudoxanthomonas sp.
Lineage: Bacteria; Pseudomonadati; Pseudomonadota; Gammaproteobacteria; Lysobacterales; Lysobacteraceae
Description: bacterial SSU rRNA
Rfam family: Bacterial small subunit ribosomal RNA
Source: RNAcentral